This 223-nucleotide long non-coding RNA is filed under the name Pelobates cultripes (western spadefoot toad). Lineage: Eukaryota; Metazoa; Chordata; Amphibia; Anura; Pelobatidae. The record is from RNAcentral.
AUUAACUACAACCCUCUGUUGCCUGUCACUCAGCCACUGCCUUACCCAUUCAACAAUAUUGGAAUCCAAACAAGAUUGCAGUUUAUUGAUAAGCCUUCUAUGUGCAACAGUGUCAAAAGCCUUACUGCAAUCUAGGUAAGCAAUGUCUACUGCACCACCCUGAUCUAUAAUUUUAGUUACCCAAUCGAAAAAAUCAAUAAGAUUAGUUUGGCAUGAUCUCCCU